Molecule: long non-coding RNA, 905 nt
Filed under: Elaeis guineensis (African oil palm)
Lineage: Eukaryota; Viridiplantae; Streptophyta; Magnoliopsida; Arecales; Arecaceae
Description: long non-coding RNA (EGUI_LNC068564)
Source: RNAcentral
GCCGAUCUUCCCCUUCGCAGCUGACAGUUCCACCUUGAGGGCGCUGAUCCUGGCGGCUUGGGCCCAAAUUCGAUCGCUGGCGCUCUUCUUGCAUUCCUCGAGUUCCUUCACGAAGUCCGCCUUCCUACGGCUAUACUCCAUGAUCCCCUUCACAUGGAGAUUCCGAAAGUGGGUGGCCUCAGCGGUGGCUUCAAAAUGACCUUCUCUCAAUCGGCGGAGCUCGCCUUCCAUCUUCUUUAACUUCUUCGUCAGGUGAAGGACUUCCUUCUUCAGCUGCUGGAUCAUCGAUUUCAGCGGGACCCCAGGGGCAGGGGGAGUGCUUCUACAGGAUACUGCCAUCGGAAGGCAAAAGCGUCAAAACAUGACUCAUUACAGGGAGGAGAACAGAGAGAAGGAGGGGGGGGAGGAGAAGCCGUCCGCAACAAGAAAUUCAACUUUAUUGAUUGGAUGAUUUUUGAAGAUAAACAGAAAAGAAAAAUUGCGACGAAAUAAAGGUACAAGAUCAGAGGUCUCAGACCUCGGGGGCGGGGGUUGGAGAAUUCGGUGUUCCCGGCAAGGGGGCUGCGACGGCAGUGGAGGCUGGCGAAGGACCGGUCUCGUCUUCAGACUCCUCGCCUAGGAAGCUGAGGUCAAGCUCUGGAAAUUUUCUGGCCACCUUCUCUUGGCAGAGCUCGAACCCCUUUAUGAACGCUUCCUGGCCGAAUUGGACCUUCAGAUCCCUCAUCUCUGCGGAGGCCUUGAAUUCCUCUAUCGCAAGGGCUCUGGCCUCCGAGACCAGGGCCGAAGUUUGCUCAACCAAGUUGGCGACCUCGGCCUCCGCCUUCCUCACCGAUUCCUCCAAGAUCUGCCUCUCCUCCUCCCGGGCUCGCUUCUCUCUUUCCAGGGCCUCCUGGAGGGCGGCUACU